AAGUAAACAGGUAGAACCCUAAUUUUAGCUGCCAUCCGUACAGAAAAUCCACCAACUCUUUAUGACAAUUAAGUUUUAAGAAAAACUAGCUGGGCACAAAAAAAGAAUCUGAAGCUUCCAGGACGGCAUGUAAGAUCAUAGAGCCAUUGACAAUAAUAGGCAAGAAAAAGACAGAUGACAGAAUGCUAAGUCAUAUCCUCUGUUUUUUUAACAAUACAAUUAUAUUAGAUGUAGGAAGGGGCAAAGCCCAUAUACAAAGGCUCACACAUAAGGAACAACAAAAGAACUACAUCCAGGUUUUACAAUGAUGGCCCAAAAAAUUCUAACAAUACAAUGAUGAACCAAAAA
Molecule: long non-coding RNA, 348 nt
Organism: Telopea speciosissima
Lineage: Eukaryota; Viridiplantae; Streptophyta; Magnoliopsida; Proteales; Proteaceae
Exons: 2
Source: RefSeq, a predicted model, not a curated record